CGGGUUGUGGCUCCUGCCACGCCGAUGAAUACUGUGAUUUCACUGGCGAAUGGGCUCACUGUGAGAAAUGCACUGUUUGUCCUCCAGGGUUCUUCCUGGUGUCCCAAUGCUCCAUUCACACAGACAGAAUGUGUCAGGAUAGAGAUGAGUGCUUGGAGAUACAAAACCUAUGUGGAGCGCAGAACCAGUGUCUCAAUACCCCAGGUGGAUUUAGGUGCACAGGGAUGUCUGUGAAAGAAGCAGCUGCCGGGAUGUGUGGCCAUGCGUACUUCUACAAUUUGGAGCUGGAGGAGUGCCAGGCUUGCUCCGAGUGUGAUUCCCAGACUGAG
Molecule: long non-coding RNA, 329 nt
Organism: Pygocentrus nattereri (red-bellied piranha)
Lineage: Eukaryota; Metazoa; Chordata; Actinopteri; Characiformes; Serrasalmidae
Exons: 3
Source: RefSeq, a predicted model, not a curated record